Papaver somniferum (opium poppy) is the source of this 1125-nucleotide long non-coding RNA. RefSeq lists it as uncharacterized. Lineage: Eukaryota; Viridiplantae; Streptophyta; Magnoliopsida; Ranunculales; Papaveraceae. The record is from RefSeq and is a predicted model, not a curated record. The transcript is spliced from 3 exons.
GAGAGAUCCAGGAAAAGAAAUAAGAAAAGAGACGAAAAAAAUCUUUGCAACCUUACCUGCUACUGCGUUCCGUUUUUCUCUUGGAAUUUGGUAAUCGAAACAACCCUAACUCAAAUUUCUAAAGAGGAUAGAAGUGCUCAGUAUAUUUUGCUGGAUUCGUCCCAAUUGUCAGCCGUACUUCUUGUGUUAUUGUCUUCUGUCACCAAAUUCAGGGGUUGGCCUAGUCUGGUUAGUGAAUUGGUACAUGGAUCAAAAACAUAGACAGGAGUCCCAGCAAAGGCCUUAGACCAAUAGAGUUGGUUGUAGAAAUCCGUCAGGUUGGGAAGUAGGCGAAUUGAAGCUGACAAUUUUACAAAACUUUUGAUACCCAAAAAGCAAAUCCAACCAUGGCUAGUAAACAAACUGAGCCGACUUUGUCAACAUCAUCUGUAGCUGCUUGUCGUAGUAAAGAUAAUCGGCUAUUAGCUGGUUAUUUGGCUCAUGAGUUUCUAACUGAAGGAACUUUGUUCGGGCAGAAGUGGGACCCUGCAAGAGCUGAAGCCAAUCCCAUAACUCCACGCAACUACCCAAAUGUUAGGAGACCAGCAGGGGGAGGAGCCGUAGCUGAAGUGAAAGGAGGAGGCGGGACAAUAAUGGCACGGCCACAACAGCAGCAUAGUAGUUAUGCUCACGUUGCAAAUCUGUUGAAAUGUGAAGGGUUGCACAUAGAAGGGAUUGUGAACCCAACCCAACUCGCAAGGUGGUUACAUAUGUGAAUCUAUAGCUAACUGUUUGAAGAGAUGGAAGAAGGAAGAAGAAGAGUUGAGUUCCAUCAAUCUCUGUUGCAAAAUUCAUCUCUGUUUUGCUGGAGUCAGCCUGUUUGAAGGAGUUGGUGAUGGAAUCAAAUUGCAGAAACAAGUGAAGAAAGUAUGUCCAAGAUGACAGAGAGUAAAUCAAAUAUUCAUAGAUUUUGAUAUUUUGGUCACUGCUUACAUUGUUUGUUGUAGCAUAUGUUUUUUUUCGGUCUCUGUAGUGAUGUGUUACUAGUUACUCGUAGUAGUUACUGCUGCUAUUGAAUCUUGAUAUAUAUUGGGAUUACUGACACUCUUAAUUGAUAAAUUAGCUUCAUCAUUUUGAUUUGCUAAA